GCAUGAUGCAGCGACGCCGCGUGGCGAUGACGACGAUCGUGUAGUAAUCCUCUUCUGUAGGAAGAGAGAAAGUGUGGUAGCUGCUGCAGAGCACCGCUAAUUACUCCAGCAGCCGCGUAAUACGUAGCGCGCACAAUCGUCAGGAAUUAUUGUUGGUAGAGAGCUCGUCGGCGGGUGGCUCGUGUCUUCUGUGAAAGUACGGGGCUCAACCUCGUAUUUCCGGUGGGUUCGGGCAGCAUAGAGUGAUGUAGGAGAGACUAGAGUACCUGGUGUAGUGGUGAUAUGCGCAGAUAUCAUGAGGAACACCGAUGGUGAAGACAGCUCUUUUGUCAUCUACUGACGCUGAGGAGGAAAAGCAUGGGGAGCAAACAACAUUAGAUACCCCCGUAGUCCAUCCCGUAAACGUUGGGCGCCAGAUGUGGGGGACAUUCCACGUUUUUCGCGUCGUAGUUAACGCAUUAAGUACCCCCCCUGGGGAGUACGGCCGCAAGGCUAAAACUCAAAAAAAUUGACGGGGGCCCGCACAACCGGCGGAGCAUGCGGAUUAAUUCGAUGCAACGCGAAGAACCUUACCAAGGCUUGACAUGGGCCGCAUCGCCGCAGAAAUGUGGUUUCCCCUUUGGGGCCGGUUCACAGGUGGUGCAUGGUUGUCGUCAGCUCGUGUCGUGAGAUGUUGGGUUAAGUCCCGCAACGAGCGCAACCCUCGUUCCAUGUUGCCAGCACGUAGUGGUGGGGACUCAUGGGAGACUGCCGGGGUCAACUCGGAGGAAGGUGGGGACGACGUCAAAUCAUCAUGCCCCUUAUGUCUUGGGCUUCACGCAUGCUACAAUGGCCGGUACAAUGGGUUGCGAUACUGUGAGGUGGAGCUAAUCCCAAAAAGCCGGUCUCAGUUCGGAUUGGGGUCUGCAACUCGACCCCAUGAAGUCGGAGUCGCUAGUAAUCGCAGAUCA
RNAcentral lists this ribosomal RNA (950 nucleotides) under Arthrobacter sp. enrichment culture clone NJ-9. RNAcentral's name for it is "bacterial SSU rRNA". It matches the Rfam family "Bacterial small subunit ribosomal RNA", at positions 381 to 1351 of the family's 1533-position model. The record is from RNAcentral. Lineage: Bacteria; Bacillati; Actinomycetota; Actinomycetes; Micrococcales; Micrococcaceae.